AGAGUUUGAUCCUGGCUCAGAUUGAACGCUGGCGGCAUGCCUUACACAUGCAAGUCGAACGGUAACAGGGAGCUUGCUCCGCUGACGAGUGGCGAACGGGUGAGUAAUAUAUCGGAACGUACCUUUGAGUGGGGGAUAACUAGUCGAAAGAUUAGCUAAUACCGCAUACGAUCUACGGAUGAAAGUGGGGGAUCGCAAGACCUCAUGCUCAUAGAGCGGCCGAUAUCUGAUUAGCUAGUUGGUGAGGUAAAGGCUCACCAAGGCUUCGAUCAGUAGCUGGUCUGAGAGGACGACCAGCCACACUGGGACUGAGACACGGCCCAGACUCCUACGGGAGGCAGCAGUGGGGAAUUUGGACA
This 359-nucleotide ribosomal RNA is filed under the name Collimonas sp. RX265. RNAcentral describes it as "bacterial SSU rRNA". It matches the Rfam family "Bacterial small subunit ribosomal RNA", at positions 8 to 370 of the family's 1533-position model. Lineage: Bacteria; Pseudomonadati; Pseudomonadota; Betaproteobacteria; Burkholderiales; Oxalobacteraceae. The record is from RNAcentral.